This 776-nucleotide ribosomal RNA is filed under the name uncultured bacterium. RNAcentral's name for it is "bacterial SSU rRNA". It matches the Rfam family "Bacterial small subunit ribosomal RNA", at positions 8 to 796 of the family's 1533-position model. The record is from RNAcentral.
AGAGUUUGAUCCUGGCUCAGAAUCAACGCUGGCGGCGUGCCUCAGACAUGCAAGUCGAACGAUUAAAGCUCUCUUCGGAGAGUGUAUAGAGUGGCGCACGGGUGAGUAACACGUAAGUAAUCUACCCUCGAGUGGGGAAUAACGUUCGGAAACGAACGCUAAUACCGCAUAACGCAGCGGCACCGCAAGGUGACAGUUGUUAAAGGAGCAAUUCGCUUGAGGAGGAGCUUGCGGCAGAUUAGCUAGUUGGUAAGGUAACGGCUUACCAAGGCUACGAUCUGUAUCCGGUCUAAGAGGACGGUCGGACACACUGACACUGAAUAACGGGUCAGACUCCUACGGGAAGCAGCAGUCGGGAAUUUUGGGCAAUGGGCGAAAGCCUGACCCAGCAACGCCGCGUGAAGGAUGAAGUAUUUCGGUAUGUAAACUUCGAAAGAAUGGGAAGAAUAAAUGACGGUACCAUUUAUAAGCUCCGGCUAACUACGUGCCAGCAGCCGCGGUAAUACGUAGGGAGCAAGCGUUGUUCGGAUUUACUGGGCGUAAAGGGCGCGUAGGCGGCGCGGUAAGUCACUUGUGAAAUCUCUGAGCUUAACUCAGAACGGCCAAGUGAUACUGCAGUGCUAGAGUGCAGAAGGGGCAAUCGGAAUUCUUGGUGUAGCGGUGAAAUGCGUAGAUAUCAAGAGGAACACCUGAGGUGAAGACGGGUUGCUGGGCUGACACUGACGCUGAGGCGCGAAAGCCAGGGGAGCAAACGGGAUUAGAUACCCUGGUAGUCC